AGACCAUCUUCCGUAAAUGGUCAGAGACCAUCUUCCGUAAAUGGUCAGAGACAAUCUUCCGUAAAUGGUCAGAGACAAUCUUCCGUAAAUGAUCAGAGACCAUCUUCCGUAAAUGGUCAGAGACAAUCUUCCGUAAAUGAUCAGAGACCAUCUUCUGUAAAUGGUCAGAGACAAUCUUCCGUAAAUGAUCAGAGACCAUCUUCCGUAAAUGGUCAGAGACAAUCUUCUGUAAAUGGUCAGAGACAAUCUUCAGUAAAUGGUCAGAGACCAUCUUCUGUAAAUGGUCAGAGACCAUCUUCUGUAAAUGGUCAGAGACCAUCUUCCAUAAAUGGUCAGAGACUAUAUUCGUUAAAUGGUCAGACAAGCUCUAGAGCAGGCCCAACUAAGGUCUCAUCCACUACCAAAUCUAAUUCGAUGUUGGCAGCAGACAAAAGGCAGUUAAAU
Molecule: long non-coding RNA, 444 nt
Filed under: Eucalyptus grandis
Lineage: Eukaryota; Viridiplantae; Streptophyta; Magnoliopsida; Myrtales; Myrtaceae
Description: long non-coding RNA (EGRA_LNC002136)
Source: RNAcentral